CUUGUCCCUUGAACUAAAACAUAAGUUGCUGGAAAAGCUCAGCAGGUCUGGCAGCAUAUAUGGUGAAAAAAUCAGAGUUAAUGUUUUGGGUCUGUGUUCUGACAAAGGGUCAUCAGACCCAAAAUGUUAACUAAGAUU
This is a small nucleolar RNA of Stegostoma tigrinum, 138 nucleotides long. RefSeq annotates it as small nucleolar RNA SNORA17. Lineage: Eukaryota; Metazoa; Chordata; Chondrichthyes; Orectolobiformes; Stegostomatidae. The record is from RefSeq and is a predicted model, not a curated record. The transcript has a single exon.